Molecule: ribosomal RNA, 252 nt
Filed under: Chaceon maritae
Lineage: Eukaryota; Metazoa; Arthropoda; Malacostraca; Decapoda; Geryonidae
Description: partial 16S ribosomal RNA
Rfam family: Bacterial large subunit ribosomal RNA (bases 134-252)
Source: RNAcentral
AUUUAGUCUUAAAAAUAUAUUUAGUUGGGGCGACGAAAGUAUAAUUAAUAAUAACUGCUUAAAUUUAAUACAAUAAUAAAUGAUUUUUUUUUAAUUGAUCCUUUUUAAAGAUUAAAGACCAAGUUACUUUAGGGAUAACAGCGUAAUUUUUUUUGAGAGUUCAUAUCGAAGAAGAAGUUUGCGACCUCGAUGUUGAAUUAAAAUAUCUUUAUAGUGCAGCAGCUAUAAAAAGAAGGUCUGUUCGACCUUUAA